This 229-nucleotide long non-coding RNA is filed under the name Cucumis sativus (cucumber). RNAcentral's name for it is "long non-coding RNA (CSAT_LNC000388)". The record is from RNAcentral. Lineage: Eukaryota; Viridiplantae; Streptophyta; Magnoliopsida; Cucurbitales; Cucurbitaceae.
AAAAAUUUAAGAGGGAAGCUGUGAGCGGCCUGCGGGAAGGGAGGAAGUUGACCUUGACCUAAUGUUUUAUUUUAUUUUAUUAAAUAAUAUAUAUAUAUGUUAUAUUAAUUUGAGUUGAGUUGGGUUAAAUUGAAUUUUUCAACCCUCUAAUUCGAGAUCCAACCCAACCAGAAAAAAAUCAAUUUUUUUAACCCAACCCUUAUAAUAUGGAUUGGGUAGUCCAGGUUAU